Molecule: ribosomal RNA, 774 nt
Filed under: uncultured Glomus
Lineage: Eukaryota; Fungi; Glomeromycota; Glomeromycetes; Glomerales; Glomeraceae
Description: SSU rRNA
Rfam family: Eukaryotic small subunit ribosomal RNA
Source: RNAcentral
AUCAACUUUCGAUGGUAGGAUAGAGGCCUACCAUGGUGGUAACGGGUAACGGGGUGUUAGGGCACGACACCGAAGAGGGAGCCUGAGAAACGGCUACCACAUCCAAGGAUGGCAGCAGACGCGCAAAUUACCCAAUCCCGAUACGGGGAGGUAGUGACAAUAAAUAACAAUACGGGGUUCUUUAGGAUUUCGUAAUUGGAAUGAGUACAAUUUAAAUCUCUUAACGAGGAACAAUUGGAGGGCAAGUCUGGUGCCAAUAGCGUAUAUUAAAGUUAUUGCAGUUAAAAAGCUCAUAGUUGAAUUUUGGGGUCAGUAGGUUGGUCAUGCCAUUGGUAUGUACUGGUCUCACUGAUUCCUCCUUCCUGAUGAGCCGUAAUGCCAUUAAUUUGGUAUUGCGAGGAAUCUGGACUGUUACUUUGAAAAAAUUAGAGUGUUUAAAGUAGGCUAACGCUUGAAUACAUUAGCAUGGAAUAAUGAAAUAGGACGUUCGAUCUUAUUUUGUUGGUUUCUAAGAUUGACGUAAUGAUUAAUAGGGAUAGUUGGGGGCAUUAGUAUUCAAUUGUCAGAGGUGAAAUUCUUGGAUUUAUUGAAGACUAACUACUGCAAAGCAUUUGCCAAGGAUGUUUUCAUUAAUCAAGAACGAAAGUUAGGGGAUCGAAGACGAUCAGAUACCGUCGUAGUCUUAACCAUAAACUAUGCCGACUAGGGAUCAGAUGAUGUUAAUUUUUUAAUGACUCAUUCAGCGCCUUACGGGAAACCAAAGUGUUUGGGUUC